This is a long non-coding RNA of Cucurbita pepo subsp. pepo (vegetable marrow), 380 nucleotides long. RefSeq lists it as uncharacterized. NCBI's taxonomy places the organism in Eukaryota, Viridiplantae, Streptophyta, Magnoliopsida, Cucurbitales, Cucurbitaceae. The record is from RefSeq and is a predicted model, not a curated record.
UAAAAAUUGAAGUAUGUUUGCAAGACCAUUUACCUCAACCUGCCUCACCGGUUUGUUCCACGGGUCAUCAUCAAUAAUCAAGCUCUUGAGGACUACCAAGACUUCAUGGCCUAUAUAUGCGAAGCCUGCAAAGGAAAUACUGCACCAGAAGCUUGCAGGCCUACAAUGGCUCGACGACUAGCAAUACCUGGAAAACACCAAUGCUGGCAAUCAAGACUGGUGUGGAACUCCAAAAAGAAACUCAACAUUUGAAACGCUGGCAAGGAAGGAUCUCAAGAUCAAACCAGCCGGAAAAUUAGAUACUAGAGACAAUGGAGAAGUUUCUAAUUUGUAAUAACAGUACUAGAAGAUAACGAUAAGAUGAUGCUAACAUUAGUUCA